RNAcentral lists this non-coding RNA (139 nucleotides) under Psychrobacter sp. Its description in RNAcentral is "TPP sequence". It matches the Rfam family "TPP riboswitch aptamer (THI element)". From Rfam's summary of the family: Vitamin B(1) in its active form thiamin pyrophosphate (TPP) is an essential coenzyme that is synthesised by coupling of pyrimidine and thiazole moieties in bacteria. The previously detected thiamin-regulatory element, thi box was extended, resulting in a new, highly conserved RNA secondary structure, the THI element, which is widely distributed in eubacteria and also occurs in some archaea. The record is from RNAcentral. Lineage: Bacteria; Pseudomonadati; Pseudomonadota; Gammaproteobacteria; Moraxellales; Moraxellaceae.
CAUUAAGACUCGGGGUGCAGACCUUGCGUUAUCUGAUAGCCGCUGAAAUGCGAUUAUAGAUAACCACGCGUUUGCUGAGACAUCACCCGUUGAACCUGAUGCGGUUAAUACCGCCGUAGGAAAGUCAUUGCAACUCCCC